Molecule: non-coding RNA, 494 nt
Organism: Pantherophis guttatus
Lineage: Eukaryota; Metazoa; Chordata; Lepidosauria; Squamata; Colubridae
Source: RefSeq, a predicted model, not a curated record
AGUUGCAGUCAUUAAGGAAAUCAAGCAUGGUCAUUAAGUGCGACAUCAUAUUUUUACCUGGCAGAAACCAGACUGGCCUGCAGUCUUCUUGAAAUGGAAGACAAAACAACAAAAACAAACUGGAGUUCACUUCCUCUACUUUUCAAAGUCCACUUGAAAGAGGGAUACUGCUGAUGGGAAAGGACAAUGCCGGAAUUCCAAGAUAGAAAACAAAACUUCUGAAUUGUGGAAAUGUUUUGCUAUUAAUGUUGUCACAAUAGGCUUUUAUCCAGCAAGAAAGAUCAAAAUUGAAACCAGAUCAAAACCAAGUAGUAAAAGUUAUCAGCAGUUCUGAAAGAAUCUCUAAAGCAAGCAAGCAAACAAACAAAACAUAUUGAUCUCUUUUACCUAUAUAUCUGGCUUUAUGCCUUUGUAAGAUAGGAGCUAAAAAUAUUCUGAAAAAUUUAUCCGUAAGUUUGUCUAAUUAGGUUAAUAAUUAAAGCAAUGUAUUUUAA